CCCACAAUACUGCAACUAUCCCCCGAAAAUACUGCACUACCCCUCACAAGUACUGACACUACCCUCCAUAAUACGAUCCCAUCCCUUCACAAUACUGCCCCUACCCCUCCAAUACUGCUCCCAUUCCCCACAAUACUGCACUUAUUCCCCACAAUACUGUCUAGUUCAUUAGAAGAACAGGAGAGCAUAAAAACAUUUAACCAUAAACAACCACAUUAUACACACCCUGCACCCACAAUGGGCACAGGGUGACUUAAACAUAAGAGUCAUCCAGAGACCUAAUUGAAUUGUCCAUCUUAAGCUCCUGGUGACGGUGACUACCAUCACAGCCGCAAUGCAAAGCAAAUACACAUCAGCCCCAAUAUAUAAAAGAAAAAAAGAUAAGUUACUUUCGCACUAUCCCAAAUCCCUAUGUACAUUUCAAUAGCUGGAAAUUUUUAAGUAUUUCUCCAAUGGCCAUUAAAGUGUAAGCUCACCUGCCAUGUCAAGACAAACGUAGUGUAAGUUCUACACUAACAAUUCACCUUGCUGUCUUCUGCCAACAGGUAUAAAUUUCCAAUGAGAGAGACAAUGGGUAUUUUCUUUCCUAAACACACACCCUACACACUUAUAAACCCUUAACCCCUUAAGGACCAAACUUCUGGAAUAAAAGGGAAUCAUGACAUGUCAUACAUGUCAUGUAUCCUUAGGGGGUUAAGGACACAGCUUCAGAAGCUUGUCUUACUGUUAAGGACAGAAGCCAUUUUUGCAUUUUUUGCUGUUUGUGUUCAAACUCAAUUUGCAUCUCUGUCAUUUAUUGCACCAACACAUAUUAUAUAGUUUUUUUAGAGGGCAAACAGGGCUUUAAUUUGAUAGAUAGAUACAUUCUCAUUAAUUGUAAAUAAAAACAAUGCCAUAAAAUAGGGGUGGG
Molecule: non-coding RNA, 910 nt
Organism: Pelobates cultripes (western spadefoot toad)
Lineage: Eukaryota; Metazoa; Chordata; Amphibia; Anura; Pelobatidae
Source: the annotation of a GenBank genome assembly